RNAcentral lists this ribosomal RNA (77 nucleotides) under Cladosporium tenuissimum. RNAcentral's name for it is "partial 28S ribosomal RNA". The record is from RNAcentral. Lineage: Eukaryota; Fungi; Ascomycota; Dothideomycetes; Cladosporiales; Cladosporiaceae.
CUAUUCGCUAAAGGGUGUUCGGGAGGCUACGCCGUAAAACAACCCCAUUUCUAAGGUUGACCUCGGAUCAGGUAGGA